This 1041-nucleotide ribosomal RNA is filed under the name uncultured Streptococcus sp. RNAcentral describes it as "bacterial SSU rRNA". It matches the Rfam family "Bacterial small subunit ribosomal RNA", at positions 359 to 1393 of the family's 1533-position model. Lineage: Bacteria; Bacillati; Bacillota; Bacilli; Lactobacillales; Streptococcaceae. The record is from RNAcentral.
GAAUCUUCGGCAAUGGGGGCAACCCUGACCGAGCAACGCCGCGUGAGUGAAGAAGGUUUUCGGAUCGUAAAGCUCUGUUGUAAGUCAAGAACGGGUGUGAGAGUGGAAAGUUCACACUGUGACGGUAGCUUACCAGAAAGGGACGGCUAACUACGUGCCAGCAGCCGCGGUAAUACGUAGGUCCCGAGCGUUGUCCGGAUUUAUUGGGCGUAAAGCGAGCGCAGGCGGUUUGAUAAGUCUGAAGUUAAAGGCUGUGGCUCAACCAUAGUUCGCUUUGGAAACUGUCAAACUUGAGUGCAGAAGGGGAGAGUGGAAUUCCAUGUGUAGCGGUGAAAUGCGUAGAUAUAUGGAGGAACACCGGUGGCGAAAGCGGCUCUCUGGUCUGUAACUGACGCUGAGGCUCGAAAGUGUGGGGAGCGAACAGGAUUAGAUACCCUGGUAGUCCACGCCGUAAACGAUGAGUGCUAGGUGUUGGAUCCUUUCCGGGAUUCAGUGCCGCAGCUAACGCAUUAAGCACUCCGCCUGGGGAGUACGACCGCAAGGUUGAAACUCAAAGGAAUUGACGGGGGCCCGCACAAGCGGUGGAGCAUGUGGUUUAAUUCGAAGCAACGCGAAGAACCUUACCAGGUCUUGACAUCCCGAUGCUAUUUCUAGAGAUAGAAAGUUACUUCGGUACAUCGGUGACAGGUGGUGCAUGGUUGUCGUCAGCUCGUGUCGUGAGAUGUUGGGUUAAGUCCCGCAACGAGCGCAACCCCUAUUGUUAGUUGCCAUCAUUCAGUUGGGCACUCUAGCGAGACUGCCGGUAAUAAACCGGAGGAAGGUGGGGAUGACGUCAAAUCAUCAUGCCCCUUAUGACCUGGGCUACACACGUGCUACAAUGGUUGGUACAACGAGUUGCGAGUCGGUGACGGCGAGCUAAUCUCUUAAUGCCAAUCUCAGUUCGGAUUGUAGGCUGCAACUCGCCUACAUGAAGUCGGAAUCGCUAGUAAUCGCGGAUCAGCACGCCGCGGUGAAUACGUUCCCGGGCCUUGUACACACCGC